Molecule: unclassified non-coding RNA, 300 nt
Filed under: uncultured Sordariomycetes
Lineage: Eukaryota; Fungi; Ascomycota; Sordariomycetes
Description: sequence contains 5.8S rRNA gene, ITS2
Rfam family: 5.8S ribosomal RNA (bases 1-71)
Source: RNAcentral
GUGAGUCAUCGAAUCUUUGAACGCACAUUGCGCCCGCUGGUAUUCCGGCGGGCAUGCCCGUUCGAGCGUCAUUUUCAACCCUUCCCGGGAGACUCUUUUACUGGGGUCCGCGGGGCGUUGGCACUGAGCGCCGCCUAGGCGGCCGGUGCCGAAAUGAAGUGGCGGACGCGUGGCGGCCCCUAGCGCAGUAGAACACCUUCUAGAACCGCUUAGGAGAGCCGCAACGGCGGACCACAGCCUAUACAAAGCUUCUAUAAAAACUUGACCUCGGAUCGGGUAGGACUACCCGCUGAACUUAAG